Molecule: ribosomal RNA, 497 nt
Filed under: uncultured bacterium
Lineage: Bacteria
Description: partial 16S ribosomal RNA
Rfam family: Bacterial small subunit ribosomal RNA
Source: RNAcentral
GAUGAACGCUGGCGGCGUGCCUAAUACAUGCAAGUCGAGCGAACAGACGAGGAGCUUGCUCCUCUGACGUUAGCGGCGGACGGGUGAGUAACACGUGGAUAACCUACCUAUAAGACUGGGAUAACGUCGGGAAACCGGAGCUAAUACCGGAUAAUAUAUUGAACCGCAUGGUUCAAUAGUGAAAGACGGUUUUGCUGUCACUUAUAGAUGGAUCCGCGCCGCAUUAGCUAGUUGGUAAGGUAACGGCUUACCAAGGCAACGAUGCGUAGCCGACCUGAGAGGGUGAUCGGCCACACUGGAACUGAGACACGGUCCAGACUCCUACGGGAGGCAGCAGUAGGGAAUCUUGCGCAAUGGGCGAAAGCCUGACGGAGCAACGCCGCGUGAGUGAUGAAGGUCUUCGGAUCGUAAAACUCUGUUAUUAGGGAAGAACAAAUGUGUAAGUAACUAUGCACGUCUUGACGGUACCUAAUCAGAAAGCCACGGCUAACUACGUG